Molecule: ribosomal RNA, 253 nt
Filed under: uncultured bacterium
Lineage: Bacteria
Description: partial 16S ribosomal RNA
Rfam family: Bacterial small subunit ribosomal RNA
Source: RNAcentral
UACGGAGGGUGCGAGCGUUGUUCGGAAUUACUGGGCGUAAAGCGCGUGUAGGCUGCCUUCUAAGUCUGGUGUGAAAGCCCGGGGCUCAACCCCGGAAGUGCAUUGGAUACUGGGAGGCUGGAGUACCGGAGAGGAGGGUGGAAUUCCUGGUGUAGCGGUGAAAUGCGUAGAUAUCAGGAGGAACACCGGUGGCGAAGGCGGCCCUCUGGACGGAUACUGACGCUGAGACGCGAAAGCGUGGGGAGCAAACAGG